Molecule: long non-coding RNA, 9669 nt
Filed under: Anolis carolinensis (green anole)
Lineage: Eukaryota; Metazoa; Chordata; Lepidosauria; Squamata; Anolidae
Description: lncRNA (ENSACAG00000042464.1)
Source: RNAcentral
ACCAAAGUUUGGCGCAAAGUCACAUCUUUGUAAAGUAUAGUUACUUAGUGAUAUAUAUUGCUAUGGUUAAGUGCUGUGAAUUGUAUUAUAUAUUGAAUUUGCUUUUAUUGUAAAUUUACUUGCAGGUAUAUUGCAUUUGCCUUUGUUGUAAAUUUACUUGCUAUUAAGAAUACAUAAUGUCUAUGCAAUUUCAAGAUGAUGCAGAUGGUAUACCUCCUUCUGAGGCUGAAAGUAGGAAUGAAAGGCCCCAAAGGAUAAAGCACCCUUCAGCCAAGAUGCUAGCCCAUCUAAUAGAUGAAAAGGAGCUCCUCCAUGUGAGGUUAGGUUCGGCAUGGGAGCGAAUUGUAACAUUAAUGGACAGAAUUGAGAGCUUGGGUAUUACAAGGGUGCCAUCCAUAUUACAGACAGACCUUGAAGAGACCUUCGGUAUUUGGAGGGGUUUGGUGUCUAAGAUAGUCCAGGUCCUCGAGCGCAUUAACGCCAAGGAUUCAGAGUUAGAAAUAGUGAGUGUCUUAGCUGACACUAAUGAGAAAGAAAAUAAGGUGAGGGCAAUUCUAGAUGCCUUGGAAUUUAGUUCUCCAUCUGUUAAUCUAAGGUCUGAGCCAAAAGGAAAUCAGUCUUCCUUAUGCAGCCAUGAGACCAAUCUUUUAAAAUCACCUGCUGUGGCACUUAGUCUUAAGUCCAACCGCUCUAGCCAGGUAUCUAAGCUAAGGGAGUGUGCAUCAUCUAAACAUAGUCACUCUAGCAAGUCUUCUGCUGCUGGGAGUGCCAUCUCUUCCCUAGCUGCCUUGCACAUUAAGGAGGCUGCACGUCUAGAGCUAAAGAGCAAGGUAGCGGGGGCGGAAGCUGAUGCUAAGGCAGCUGAUCUCACCCUUCCCUUUAAAGAAGAAGAGCAACGACUGCAAAUAGAACAGGCCCGUAGACAAAGCGAACUGCAAAUAGAACAGGCCCGUAGACAAAGCGAAAUGCAAAUAGAACAGGCCCGUAGACAAAGUGAAAUGCAAAUGGAACAGGCCCAAAGGCAAGGUGAAAUAGAAAUGCUUAGAAUAAGGAUGGAUGCUACUGCCAAAAAGGUAAGGGCUGAGACUUUGGCCAAGGCCCUAAUUGAGCCACUCACAGAAGAAAAUGUAAGUCAGUUGCCGAAGCAGGACCCUUCUUCCAAGGUGCUUGUGCAUCUUAAUAGCUUAAACAGCCAGUUUUCGGAUGAGGAACAGGAAGACUUCUCUCCUUACCCAGAGCAGGGCCCCAAAGUCACUUUUGAGUUUCCUGCAGAGCAGAGCGUCAUAGCGGGGAGCUCACCCUUGCCCGAGCUACCUGUGCCUCCUGCUAAAUCCCUAGGUCAGUCAAUCAGGGCCUCAAGGCCAAGUGCUAGUUGGCCCUUACAGACAGCUGCACAGGGAGCCACCGAUUCGUCAGUGGUCGAUGUCAUCCCUCCAAGAGGCCAAAGGUUGACGCAAGGUGCACGGUGGGAGUCCACUCCACAACAGCAAACUCCUCAAUUGUUCCCUUCGACGCCAGAGUCCCAGCUUGUCUCCAUCAUCAGAAGCCCCAGAAGAGAUCUUAAGGACAAGGGUGUCGAAAAGUUUUCGGACAAGCCUGAGGAAUUUCUUCUCUGGAAGGCCACCUUCCAGAGAGCAAUCAGAGACUUAAAGUUAUUGCCUGAGGAAGAACUGACUCUUCUGGCUGCAUGGUUGGGCCCAGCCUCAUCCUCACAAGUUAAGAAGAUCUACGCAGCCCACGUAGCCGAUCCCGACAAAGCCCUGGAAAAGGCCUGGGCCAGGUUGCAGCAGAGGUAUGGGGCCAGCACAGAGAUUGAAGCAUCUCUUAUGGACAAGCUCCAAAGGUUCCCAGCUUUGAAACUCAAAGACUUCAAACUCUUGUGGGACCUCAGCGAUCUCCUUACGGAAUUAGAGUCGGCCAAGGAGAAUCCAGAACUGCCCGGUUUGAAGUGCCUCGAUCAGCACCUGUCCCAGAGGCAGAUCUUGACCAAGCUGCCCUUCACUUUGCAAGAACGCUGGGGACAGGAGGUCUUCAACUACAAGGAGGCCCACUCCCAGGCAUACCCUCCAUUUUCUCAUUUGGUCCAGUUCAUCACCAGGGCGGCCAGAGAAAGGAAUGAUCCGCAGACGGGCCUCCCCACCUUAUACCAAGGGACCCAGCCAGAGAAGGCACCUAAAGUGGAGAAAAAACCAUCCAGAGAGGCCAAAAGACCGGUUAGUGUUAAGGCUGUUGAAACUCAGCACAGGGCCAACGAAUCCAAGUCAGAGGUGAAGGAGGUGCUCUGCCCCAUUCACCAAAAGCCUCACAGUUUGGCCAACUGCCGGGAAUUUGGCAAGAAGCCUUAUAAAGAAAGACAACAGAUUGUACAGAAGCUGGGCAUAUGUUUUAGGUGCUGUGGAGCAACUCCUCACUUUGCAUCCAACUGCAAAGAGGACGUCAAAUGCGCAAGGUGUAACAGCCUUAAGCAUUGCACCGCGAUGCACAACUCUGACGCUGUCUCCCGCGCCAAAGGGGACACGUCUUCCAAAGAAGGGUCAUCUACUGAAGCCACCAACAUGCAGACCGCGUCACGGAUGCAGGAGGAUGCUCCAUCGGUCGCCUGUACUGAACUAUGCUCUGACGUGCACCAGUUCAGAGUCUGCCAUCCCAUCUGCCUAGCAGAUGUAUAUCCAGCCAGAAGACCUUGGCUUAAAAAGAGACUUUACGUGGCUUUGGAUUCACAAAGCGACGCCUCCCUGGCGACUCCAGAGUUUUUCCAACUGUUUGACAUAAAAACCCAGACGGUCGACUACACCAUGUCCACCUGUGUAGGGAAGAAGAAGUUGCAGGGUCGCAUAGCAUCCGGCUUUGUUGUCUCCUCUUGUGACCAGAAGAGACUGUUCGAGUUACCAGACCUCAUUGAGUGUUCCUCUAUUCCCCGGAACAAAAGGCAGAUUGUCACCAGAGAAGUCGUGGAAGCCCAUCCUCACUUGCGAAAGCUGAAGAACGCCUUACCUGCUUUCCGUCCAGAUGUGGACAUUGCCCUUCUGCUUGGUGCGGACUGUCCGAACUUGUUCUAUGUGAACGACCAAGUUAAGGGACCUCCAGGGGCGCCCAUUGCUCAGCUGCUACCACUAGGCUGGACAGUUACAGGCCCAGUGAGCAUAAAUAGGAUGCACCCUCCAUCGUCGGUGGGCACUCGUCAAGCGCACGUGCUUCAAGGCAGUCGCCCCACACUAAUGCAUAGCUGUUUGAGUCAUAUCUCGGUCUAUUGUCAGGGGAUAACACCAGAGUAUUCUUCCAUCUUUGAAGUCUCCAAAAGGGAUGAAACUACAGCGCUUUCCAAAGAUGAACAGAGGUUUUUAGAGAUCAUGAACUCUCAAGUUUCCCGGAGUCCCGAGGGAAAUUGGAUAGCCCCUCUGCCUUUUAAAGCAGAAAAACCCACUUUGCCAAACAACAGGCAUGUGGCAGAAAAUAGACUCUGGUCACUGAAGAAGAAGAUGCAGAAAGACCCCAAGGUGUAUGUGGCUAAUAGAAUCAACAACAUUCUAUCCAGUUCUACGCCUAGCCAGUGGCACCACGUCGCCACCAGCAACAACCCAGCUGACAUCGCUUCCAGAGGAGCUUCAACUCAACGAGUGUUAAGUUCAAGUUGGCUGACAGGCCCCAGAUGCUUGACCGAAGUCAAUUUUCCAUCAGCCUUUUCUCCCACCGAUAAUACAGAAUUGCCCGAGUCCGUUCCAGAGGUGAAAGCCUGCAAAUCAACCACAGAAAUCAAGAUGGGCCAAAGAUCUUGCCUGGAACCACACCGUUUUGAACGUUUUUCGGAGUGGCACAGUCUUCUUAGAGCAGUUGCUAGGCUUAUACAUCGUUUAGCUUGCAAAGAUAGUGAGCCUUUACAGGUCCAGGAUAUGAUAAAGGCUAAGAGCGUCAUAUUCAAGUCAGUACAGAGAUCUGCUUUCAAGCAGGAAAUAGCUAGGCUAGAGCAAGGGCUCAACAUCCCUAAUCAAAGUCUUCUAAAUGAGUUAAACCCAUUUCUAGACAAGGAGGGCAUUUUGAGAGUUGGAGGAAGGUUAGCCAAAGCUAAACUCAAGGCGUGCAUAAAAAACCCCAUCAUCAUACCCCCUAAUAGUCACACUGCAUUGCUGCUCGUUCGGCAUCACCAUGAAAGGAUCCAUCAUCAGGGUAGAACUCUAACUGAGGCAGCCCUUAGAAAUGAAAGUCUGUGGGUAGUUAAUGCCAAAAGGUUGGUCAACAGUUGUAUUUUCAAAUGUGUCAAAUGUCGGCGACUCAGACGAAACUGUCAAAGUCAGUUGAUGGCAGAACUACCUCAGGAUAGGACUUUGACAGACCCACCCUUUUCCCAUGUGGGAAUCGAUGUGUUUGGUCCUUGGGAGGUUGUCACUAGGAAAACCAGGGGUGGUGUUGUAAAUAACAAGAGGUGGGCAGUUUUGUUUACUUGUUUAGUAAUACGAGCUGUCCAUAUAGAAGUCAUAGAAGGGAUGGACACUUCAUCAUUUUUAAACGCAUUAAAAAGGUUCAUAGCCCUCAGAGGGCCAAUUAAGUCAAUUCGGUCGGACUGUGGCACCAAUUUUGUAGGUGCGACCAAAGAACUCAAUUGUGUGUCUAGGUUUGGGAGAGACCCAAAGGUUCAGAACUUUACGAAUACUGAACAAAUUAUGUGGACUUUCAAUGUUCCUCACGCCUCCCAUAUGGGUGGUGUUUGGGAGAGGAUGAUUGGUAUUAGUCGCAAAAUCCUUAAUGCCAUGUUUUUGAGUCAUAGGUCAUUGACGCAUGAUGUUUUGGUGACACUUAUGGCGGAAGUUACCGCAAUUAUCAACAACCGGCCGCUGGUUCCCCUUACCAGUGACCCUGAGAACUUACAACCACUGACUCCUGCACUUAUUUUGACACAAAAGGUGCCAGGAUGGAAGGACGUCAUGUUGCCAGUUCCGGACGGAACUCACCGUGCCCUGUGGAAACAGGUGCAGUCCUUGGCCAACCACUUUUGGAAAAGGUGGAAAGCUGAGUACUUAAGCCAGCUUCAAGCUAGAAGAAUCUGGCAAAGCCCACAGGACAACAUUGAGGUUAACAACGUUGUGUUGUUAAAGGACAAAGACUUGCCCCGCCAUGCAUGGCCCAUGGGCAUUGUAUUAAAGACCUUUCCUUGCCCGGACGGUAAGGUCAGGAAAGUUCAAUUAAAGACUUGCAACAGAGGCAAAGUGUCCAUUUUGGACAGACCAAUUAGUGACCUCGUGUUGCUUAUUGGAGAUGUUUAAAGUUCUAGUGUUUGUAUUGUUGUGUAUACAAAGGUGUUUGUAUGUUUUUGAUUGGUAAAUUCCCACAUCCUGGGAAUUUAGCGGGGAGUGUUCCGUCCCCCAGGACGAUGGUUUGCCUUACCUAUUGGUCGUUUGUUUGUUUUCCCUCCUUCACAUUUUGUUUGAGCCUCUGGCUGCAAUAGCCUAGGAAAAGUGGCUUGGAAUCUGCAAGAGCUGGCUGCAGUUUUCUUUGCAGUGAUUGGUCAAAGAAUGCAACAUCUUAGGACCGCCCUUUUUACCAGGGUCUAGUCUCCAUUUUGGAGCUUCAUUCUGGCUAUAGUCUUCCAACGUGCUGGAGCUGUGCAAGGCUAACUGGGACAAAUCAUCCUCAAAACCAGGCCAAUCUAAGCCUAUCCAAAUUAGAUAAGUAUUGAAUUAUACUGAUCUGGAAUAAGAAAUCUAGUUAGAGGAGCAGGGUUAUUCCAUCGCUUCUAGAACUAAUCUUUGCUGUAAAGAUAGGGAAGGAAAGAGUUUCUCCUUCUAAUAUAGGCAGCGUGAUUAGGGUAUAGUGGUUUUAUAAUCACCUUUGCUUUCUGGAACCAGGGAUAAUUCUGUACCUAAAACCUAUAGAAAUUUGUUUCAUUUUCUGCAACUUUAAGAUCUGUGCCAGGUUUACAACCUUGUAUGAAUAAACAUCCUUUUUUGAAGUUAUCCAGACUCAGUCGUUCAAUAUCUAUAGGACAGCUUAUAGGGAUUUGCAGUUCGCCCGGAUAAAGGACAGCACGUUUCAGUUUUAUAGCUUUUUAUUGUUCGGCGGACGGCACAUGGAGCAUACAUUUACCACUUGAAGCCCUGCAAUUUUCAGAAUGUUGUGCUCACCCACUGAUUUUUAGGAUGCUUUUGAAGUUUUUAUGAACAACUUUAAAAAAAUACAUGAGCUAUCCCCUCAAAUUUCUCUAAAUGACACAACAUAAACAGGGCAUCUUUUCCUCCAAGUUUCAGAAAGAUUUGCCCAUCCAGUAAUUUUUAAUUUUUUUUUUUAAAAAAAUUACAAAUAAAAACAACAAUAAGAAAAUAAUAAAACAAUAAAACAUGAACCCGCUCAAAUGAAUCCUAGCUGGACCCCCCCCCCCCCCCCCCCACACACACACACACAUAUAAAGAAAAUUAACCCUAAAGAAUCAGAAGCCUGACUGUGGGAAUCCUAAAAGGAAUCCCUUGGAAGAAAAGCCCUCGUGGUCGCUGUAUUGGAAACACCAGGAGCAACUCCUCCCUUUUCCUCAGCCCUGAUAGCAUGUGAUCUUGUGCUAUUCUAAUCUUUCCUGUUGUGACUUCCAUCAUGCGGGAAUCAACAUUCUAAAAAAGCUGAUUUCCUAUAUUUAUAAAGACUUUCCAUAUGUGGAAAGCCUACACUUAUGUAGGAGGCUAUCUUCUUCAAAUCAAUGCCACAAAAUGUAACAUGCAUGAAAUUUGUAAGUGAGCGUAUAUGUGGAGUAAUGCCCUCAUGCGUAGAGAACAGUAGAACCAGCAAGGAGAGACACGACAGGUUAGUACAUUCCUCCCCCAUGAUUGGGGAUUCUGGGAGUCCCCAUUUCCCAAGCUCUGAUAUUCAUAGUGAGGUUUGGGAUGGAUCUAAGGGAUUUUGGUUAUUAUUAUUUCUCCUUCAGAAUUAACUGUUCUAAUGCAUAUUUUAUUUCAAAGCUCAGUUUGCUUAACUUAUCCUUUUUCCUAACGGGAUGGACUGAGAUGAAAAUUUAUUCAUAAUGAUCAGAGUUCAUUAAUAAGUGACUUUUCUUGAAGUUGAGCCUACACACAUUCUCUAAUAAUUAGAAAAGGAGGAGGCCAAAAUGUAUAUUCUUACAAUAUUUUUAUUAUUAAAUAAAUACAAUUUUCUAACAAGUAGCCCUCCCUCUCAUCUUGCAUAUUUUUAUAAUAUUUUUAUUGAAUAUGUCAAUAUUUCUUCACAUAAGAGGAGAACAUGGAACAGUUGGGUGAAAAGGAAAAAAGAAGGAUGGGUAAUGGAGUUAUUUUUACAAAUAUCUAGUAUGUUGCUGGGAAAGAGAGAUGGGGUUGAGGGGAUGGACAUUGUACUAAUUAAAAUUGUUACAUCUAAUUGUUCAUAUCAAAAAUAUUACAAAUUUCACAUAUCCUCUAUAACAAAAAGAGAAAUUAUUUUUGUCAUCUAAUUUUAAACCAAAUAGUUAUAUCUUCUUAUAUGUUCUGGUUUAUUCCAUGUUCUUCUUGUCUUCUCCUCCAGAUCUUCUUCAUUAAAAGUUAAUUUUGUUUGUUCUUAUUUAGAUUAUUUCGUUGAACUCUUUGAACUUUAUUCAUCAAAUUUUAAUUAUUUUAAGUAAUCUAAAUAUUUAAUUUAAUAUGUUAGUAAAUUAGCAUAGUGUAGACAAAAUUUACUAUGUAUCACUAUCAUCCUGCCCUCGCUCCCCCCCCCCCCCAUGAUCCAAAUCUAAUUAUGGGGUACAAACCUCCCUAUUAUCCAGAGAUUCUUAAGUGAGAAUGCACUAAGUAUCCUACUCCACCACUUUUGUCCCAAUAGGUUCUUUGCACUGUUCUCUACUACCUGAAAUGAUUUCCUAAAAACUGUUUAUAGGAACCUUCCCCAAGUAGAAUACUUCUGUUAUUGGAAGGCAAAUCCAACCCACUGCUUAUCAUGACCCUUGACUAGCACUGUACAAAGGUUUACAUAGGACGCAAUGGUAUGUGAGCAAUUUUAUAAAACGGUAUAAUAGGUUUCCUAAGAAUUCUUAGGACACUGAAUGUCCUGAGAGUAACUUCUAAGUAGAAACAGGCUGAAUUCACAUAAAGGCUAUAUUCCAGCUCCAGUGAACCCUAUCCUGCCCCUGUUUGACCCCAUUAAUGCCUCACCCAUCCAUUAUCUCCCUUAUUUCUUGCUCAUCCUUUCCAGGUUUGAAGCUUUUCAUUUCCAAAAGAAGAUGAAUGAAAUCUUAUAGCCUCUGCCUUGUGUCUAUGCAUGUCAUAAUAUGUGACUGCCCAUCUGGGAGAGAACACACUGAAUAUGCAUCUUCAAAUGCAUGCACACACUUAAAAAUCCCAGUAGCUGCAUACAGAAUAUCCUGCUUGAGCCCUUAUUAAGCCCAGAACUAUCAAUGCCAAUGCUGCUAGUACAGCAAUGGAGAGUUCUGGCUGUUAGUAUAACAGAAGAGGCUCUCUCCUUCUCCCCUCCCUAUAUCCUAUCCACUCUGCCCACCCCAGAGAUACUCCCUCCCAUACACUCCCUCCCUCCCAUACACACACCCAAGUGAUUUCCUGCCAGCAAACAAAAACGUGACUAAUUACUAAGCCUGAUUUCACUAUUAAAAAUGACAGAGGGCAGCAGUCCCUGUGCCUCUAACCAUCUCAAAUGUGGAGGAACAACUGCAGUUAAUAAAAUUUAAUAAGAUAAUCAAUAUUUAAAAGAGUGUAACACAAACAUUCCAGGUAGAAUAGUUUCAGAUAUUUGUAUAUUCAACGUGAACAUCCACAUACCUACACUGAAUGUAAAAAGAAAAACACAACAAAAAUCAUAGAAGCACCACAAGGUACAAGGGUACAAGACACAUAUCACACAUUUCCAGGGUACAAGACACAGAUCACACACAAAAAAAAUGUGUGUGUGUUUUGCUUGAAAUUACAGAUUCAAAUGGGUGUUUUAAAAUUGCAUUAAAGUCCUCAAGCUAAUAGCCCCGUAACUUUGAAACCAGAAGAAUAUUGUGUAUUCAGACAACAGUGGGAAUGAGGAAAUAACAAAUUAUUUUGCUGGUGUGGAUUCCAGUUAUAAAUAGGAUUAAGUUGAAACCAUUAUCUGCUCUCAUAAUAUCAGACUUCUGCAUCAGAGAAAGAAAAUGUGUAUUUUAGCUCCUUAUAUUGUAAAGAUAACAGAAAUUCGGUCUUAGUACAUAUAUUUGUGUGAAAUGAAAAUACUGUCUGUAAUGUCUCCUUUCUCAUGUUGCAGGACAAUUCUACAUCUCAGCAAGUGUACUGGCAAGGUUAUUUUGCCCUUUAUACUCAGCUUUUUCUGAUAAAAAAAUAUUCAUACUCUCCCACAUAGCGCAGAAGCAGAAGUGGGGGACACUAUCUUAUGUUUGUCAGAUUGUGUUCACUGCAAAAGAACUGUCUCUUUUCAGCACUCUCAAAAUUAAGGCUAUAGGCAUGAAGACAAAACUGAAAAAGGAAGGAAGAAAGGAAAGAAAGAAGGAAAGAAGGAAGGAAAUAACAUAAAUUAUCUGUUUUACAUUGUAGUUCCCCAAAUCCUCCAGCCUAUAUUUCUAGCCAAAUUAUUAUACAUACAUCCUGUCUUUCUCUCAGUUUUGUAUUCAAGGUGCCUUACAAAAGUGAAAACAAAUAUCCAGAAUCCUUUAAGAUCUAGCAUUAAGUAUACUUUACCAGGUAACCUCUCCUGAAUGGUCCAUAUCCCUCA